RNAcentral lists this ribosomal RNA (1525 nucleotides) under Pseudomonas sp. RNAcentral's name for it is "bacterial SSU rRNA". It matches the Rfam family "Bacterial small subunit ribosomal RNA". The record is from RNAcentral. Lineage: Bacteria; Pseudomonadati; Pseudomonadota; Gammaproteobacteria; Pseudomonadales; Pseudomonadaceae.
CUGCAGUCGAGCGGAUGAGGAGAGCUUGCUCUCUGAUUCAGCGGCGGACGGGUGAGUAAUGCCUAGGAAUCUGCCUGGUAGUGGGGGACAACGUUUCGAAAGGAACGCUAAUACCGCAUACGUCCUACGGGAGAAAGUGGGGGAUCUUCGGACCUCACGCUAUCAGAUGAGCCUAGGUCGGAUUAGCUAGUUGGUGGGGUAACGGCUCACCAAGGCGACGAUCCGUAACUGGUCUGAGAGGAUGAUCAGUCACACUGGAACUGAGACACGGUCCAGACUCCUACGGGAGGCAGCAGUGGGGAAUAUUGGACAAUGGGCGAAAGCCUGAUCCAGCCAUGCCGCGUGUGUGAAGAAGGCCCUCGGGUCGUAAAGCACUUUAAGCUGGGAGGAAGGGUUGUAACCUAAUACGUUGCAAUUUUGACGUUACCAGCAGAAUAAGCACCGGCUAACUCUGUGCCAGCAGCCGCGGUAAUACAGAGGGUGCAAGCGUUAAUCGGAAUUACUGGGCGUAAAGCGCGCGUAGGUGGCUUGGUAAGUUGAAUGUGAAAUCCCCGGGCUCAACCUGGGAACUGCAUCCAAAACUGCCUGGCUAGAGUACGGUAGAGGGUGGGUGGAAUUUCCUGUGUAGCGGUGAAAUGCGUAGAUUAUAGAAAGGAACCACCAGUGGCGAAGGCCGACCCACCUGGACUGAUACUGACCACUGGAGGUGGCGAAAGCCGUGGGGGAGCAAACAGGAUUAAGAUACCCUGGGUAGUUCACGCCGUAAACGAUGGUCCAACUAGCGGUUGGGGUCCUUGAAGACUUUAGGUGGCCGCAGCUUAACGCAUUAAGUUGACCAAAACAAGGAUUAGAUACCUUGUAGUUCACGCCGUAAACGAUGUUCAACUAGCCGUUGGGGUCCUUGAGGACUUUAGUGGCGCAGCUAACGCAAUAAAGUUGACCGCCUGGGGAGUACGGCCGCAAGGUUAAAACUCAAAUGAAUUGACGGGGGCCCGCACAAGCGGUGGAGCAUGUGGUUUAAUUCGAAGCAACGCGAAGAACCUUACCAGGCCUUGACAUGCAGAGAACUUUCCAGAGAUGGAUUGGUGCCUUCGGGAACUCUGACACAGGUGCUGCAUGGCUGUCGUCAGCUCGUGUCGUGAGAUGUUGGGUUAAGUCCCGUAACGAGCGCAACCCUUGUCCUUAGUUACCAGCACAUCAUGGUGGGCACUCUAAGGAGACUGCCGGUGACAAACCGGAGGAAGGUGGGGAUGACGUCAAGUCAUCAUGGCCCUUACGGCCUGGGCUACACACGUGCUACAAUGGUCGGUACAAAGGGUUGCCAAACCGCGAGGUGGAGCUAAUCCCAUAAAACCGAUCGUAGUCCGGAUCGCAGUCUGCAACUCGACUGCGUGAAGUCGGAAUCGCUAGUAAUCGUGAAUCAGAACGUCACGGUGAAUACGUUCCCGGGCCUUGUACACACCGCCCGUCACACCAUGGGAGUGGGUUGCACCAGAAGUAGCUAGUCUAACGUCGGAGGACGGUA